Molecule: long non-coding RNA, 1029 nt
Organism: Chinchilla lanigera (long-tailed chinchilla)
Lineage: Eukaryota; Metazoa; Chordata; Mammalia; Rodentia; Chinchillidae
Exons: 4
Source: RefSeq, a predicted model, not a curated record
CAGAGUGAGCAGUUUGGCUCCACCAAAAUCAUCUGCUAUGCUGUUUCUGCCUUCAAGCCAACCAACCAUGGACUAAAACCUCUGAAACUAUGAAAUCUCUCCUCCCUGUUACAGAUGUUGAGGAAGAAUUUCUUGAGAGAAAAAAAGCUUCUGUCUGAGAGGGAAAGAAGGGGACCCGGAAAGUAGUAGUCUGCCAACCCCGCUCCUCAAGGGUGUUUUAUUGAGUAAAGCCACGAGGUGAGCCUUUAAGAAUGUAUUUCUCCAGCCACCCACACUGCAGGUGGGACCAGCAGCCCUGCAGUGGGGAAGAAUCUGAAGGAGCAAUGAGAACGGAGACACUGUUUUCUGAGGGGUCACGCAGAGCAGCAGUUGGUGAUUCAGCUUCUUCACGCCUGCUUUGUGCAGUAUAAUGGCAAUCAGCUAUCCAAUGAACCUGAAAAACCUUCAAGACUUCUUUGCCACAUGGAGAACCAGCAUGCUACAUUAAAAGACAAGCCUCUGGAGGUUUUCAAAAGAGAAAAAGUGUGAACAUAAAGAACCAAAGUACUUACUGAAGGCCACCACUUCAUCACAUGUGUCUGCACUGAGAGUAUCAUUCUUAGUGGCUAAUUAGAUUGCUAAAGCUAAGAAGCCCUUUGCUGUUGGUGAAGCAUGGAUCCUGCCUGCUGUUAAUGACAUUGAUCACGAACUUUUGGGAGAGGCUGUAGUCUAAAAGGUAGCACACAUUCCUUGAUCAGCUAGCAACAUAACUAGAUGAAUGGGCAAAUUAGUAGGGGAUAUCAAGACACAGUUGUUAAAGAGGAUUCAUGAGUCACUGUGGUACGCAGCCCAGGUUGUUGAGUUUACCCACCUUGACAAAAAGGCAACAAUGCUUGUUUUUUUGUGAUAAAGUUUAUAGGAGGAUGUGCAUGUGUGUAUGUUACGUGCACUUUUGUUGCUAACCAAUACCACAGCUGCAGAACUGUUCAUAUCUUUGAAUGAUUACAAAUCAAGAGAGCUUAGUUGGUCAUUUUGUGUCAGUAUAUGCAU